UCUACAGGUCUACAAACCUCUAUUCAACAGGUCUACAGCUCUACAGGUCUACAAACCUCUAUUCUACGGGUCUACAGAUCUACAAAGAUCUAUUCUACAGGUCUACAGGUCUACAAACAUCUAUUCUACAGGUCUACAUGUCUACAAACAUCUAUUCUACAGGUCUACAGAUCUACAAACAUAUAUUCUACAGGUCUACAGAUAUACAAACUUCUAUUCAACAGGUCUACAAACCUCUAUUCUACAGGUCUACAAACCUCUAUUCUACAGGUCUACAAACCUCUAUUCUACAGGUCUACAAACCUCUAUAUUACAGGUCUACAAACCUCUAUUCAGAUUGUAAGAAGCAAGAACUUCUCAAGUAAUUAAAGAAAAUAAUUUCUUUAAGAAGAAGUGAAGGUCAGUGAAUCUCAAGAACUUUUAAAGUAUCUUCAAGUGCAGAUGCAAAAAAGA
Astyanax mexicanus (Mexican tetra) is the source of this 453-nucleotide long non-coding RNA. RefSeq lists it as uncharacterized. NCBI's taxonomy places the organism in Eukaryota, Metazoa, Chordata, Actinopteri, Characiformes, Acestrorhamphidae. The transcript is spliced from 3 exons. The record is from RefSeq and is a predicted model, not a curated record.